Rosa rugosa (rugosa rose) is the source of this 1013-nucleotide long non-coding RNA. RefSeq lists it as uncharacterized. The record is from RefSeq and is a predicted model, not a curated record. NCBI's taxonomy places the organism in Eukaryota, Viridiplantae, Streptophyta, Magnoliopsida, Rosales, Rosaceae. The transcript is spliced from 3 exons.
UUUGUAAUAUGUCGAAUUGUCUAAUAAUGAAUAAUUGGGAUGCAUUUGGAGUUUUGGGUGCAUAUGGUAUAUUUGAUUACAAAUAUGCAAUCUUUUAGUAUGUCAAAAAUUGGUAUGCAAUGUAUUCUCUCGAUUUUUGAUGAUGCAAUGGUUCAUGGCCGGCUAAAGUCUAUGCCUUUGUUUCAUUUCUACUAGUUUAUUAGUUGUCCUUUUCAUUUGGGUAACAUAUGCCCUGUACCUGUUUUCUUUUCACUAGGUAACAUAUCACUAUAUGGAGGCAUGAACGUUAGCACUAGUUAUGUUCACCAAAAGAUGGAUUCUUUUGGUUUUGGUUUUCUGUCGUUUUUUUCUUUUUGUUCUGUUAAUUGAUGAAAAGGCUACCUAUGACUCUUUCUAUCUAUUUCAGAACUUGGUUUUAAUUAACUGGUUUGGUGAUCAUUGCUUUUGAUCAGAGUAGAUAAAGCUAGUGGAUGCUGAAACCAGUUGUUCAUAGUUGAGAUUGGUUGGUUUAUUACCUGAACUUGCGUCCAAGUCUUACGGCCCUAGUUCUCGCACUUGGUAAACAGUAGCUCCAGUGAAACGAAGCUGAAAGAACAUGGAUAAAGAAUGGGCUUAUUGUAAAAGCAGCAAUCCUAGAGCCUUUUAUGACGGAGCAAAAAAGUUUGUUAAUAGCAUUCAUGCAAGUAAGGGGUAUCCUGAAAAGAUCCAGUGCCCAUGUAGUAGUUGUAUAAACGUAUGGUCUUACCCACCUCGUACUGUAUUAGAUCAUCUAACCUCAAAUGGGAUAUAUGAGAGUUAUAUUAAUUGGACCUUUCAUGGAGAUGAGCCAAGAACUACUGUACAAGAAGAAAACAUGGAAAGCUUUGAAAACUUGGAGACAUAUAAAAUGUAUAGAGAUGCACAGCUAAAUGAUGAUUUUAUGGAACCUGCACCUGAAAAUAUAGAGUCUGAUGUUACAAAUUUAGUAAAUGAAGCAGAACUUCCUCUAUAUAAGGGUUGUCCUUCUACAAAAA